GCAUUCUCGAGCUAAAAGGAGAAGCAAGCGAUAGUCAGCCUUAUCUUUGUGAAAUGGAACACACAAAUGAGGAAGCAUGAGUCACCUCAAGGCAUUUCAUUUCAAACCUCAGCCCUGCUGGUAACUGGUUGAUGAAACAGGAAGAGCAUCAUGAAGUUGGCUGACACGGGAAAAGUUACCACGGACCAACCUUGCACUCCCAGGACAAAUCCCGCUUGGUGAUGUGCUGACUGAUGGCAUACAUCAUCAUUCUUGAAAACCCCAAAAAAGCUUCCAAUGAAAUAUAAACUCGGACUGGUAGCUGUAUCUUAGAUCAGAGAGCUGUUGUUGGAU
Molecule: long non-coding RNA, 333 nt
Organism: Eptesicus fuscus (big brown bat)
Lineage: Eukaryota; Metazoa; Chordata; Mammalia; Chiroptera; Vespertilionidae
Exons: 3
Source: RefSeq, a predicted model, not a curated record